ACAGCAGUAGCCGCGGUAAUACGUAGGUCCCGAGCGUUGUCCGGAUUUAUUGGGCGUAAAGCGAGCGCAGGCGGUUUGAUAAGUCUGAAGUUAAAGGCUGUGGCUCAACCAUAGUUCGCUUUGGAAACUGUCAAACUUGAGUGCAGAAGGGGAGAGUGGAAUUCCAUGUGUAGCGGUGAAAUGCGUAGAUAUAUGGAGGAACACCGGUGGCGAAAGCGGCUCUCUGGUCUGUAACUGACGCUGAGGCUCGAAAGCGUGGGGAGCGAACAGGAUUAGAUACCCGGGUAGUCCCUGUCUCUUAUACA
Molecule: ribosomal RNA, 305 nt
Filed under: uncultured bacterium
Lineage: Bacteria
Description: partial 16S ribosomal RNA
Rfam family: Bacterial small subunit ribosomal RNA
Source: RNAcentral